RNAcentral lists this unclassified non-coding RNA (336 nucleotides) under soil metagenome. RNAcentral's name for it is "partial contains 5.8S ribosomal RNA, internal transcribed spacer 2, and large subunit ribosomal RNA". The stretch from base 1 to 120 matches the Rfam family "5.8S ribosomal RNA", at positions 35 to 154 of the family's 154-position model. The record is from RNAcentral.
GAUGAAGAACGCAGCGAAAUGCGAUAAGUAGUGUGAAUUGCAGAAUUCAGUGAAUCAUCGAAUCUUUGAACGCACAUUGCGCCCCUUGGUAUUCCAUGGGGCAUGCCUGUUCGAGCGUCAUUUGUACCUUCAAGCUUUGCUUGGUGUUGGGUGUUUGUCUCGCCUUUGCGUGUAGACUCGCAUUAAAAUAAUUGGCAGCCGGCGUAUUGAUUUCGGAGCGCAGUACAUCUCGCGCUUUGCACUCAUAACGACAGCGUCCAAAAGUACAUUUUACACUCUUGACCUCGGAUCAGGUAGGGAUACCCGCUGAACUUAAGCAUAUCAAUAAGCGGAGGA